GCCUCUGUAGUCUAAUGUUGAGACGUCUCUGCCACAUAUAUGGUUAGUAUUGCUCUUGACAGAGAAGUUGAGGGUUCGAGUCUCUCCAGAGGCG
Molecule: non-coding RNA, 94 nt
Organism: Mycena capillaripes
Lineage: Eukaryota; Fungi; Basidiomycota; Agaricomycetes; Agaricales; Mycenaceae
Source: the annotation of a GenBank genome assembly